UUCUUGAUAAUCAAGAUGUUGUUAUGAAAAAUUUUGCCGAUAUCCUGCAUGUUUGACCUAAUUCCUAAAACUGGUAUCGAAGUGUUUGCAAAAUUGAGAUAACCAAUAAUAUUGAGCGAUGGCUCAUUUAUUUUCCUACUUUAUAUAGUCUUUGGUGGACUAUUUUGUAUAAUCAUAACCCUCAUAUAACUGGCAUAAUAAGUAAAAUUCUUACCUUGAAGCGACAACAAGAUGGUGGUCCAAUUUCAAUCGCCGACACCCUGCAUGAUGACGUAGAUUCCCCCC
This 285-nucleotide long non-coding RNA is filed under the name Mytilus galloprovincialis (Mediterranean mussel). The record is from RNAcentral. Lineage: Eukaryota; Metazoa; Mollusca; Bivalvia; Mytilida; Mytilidae.